This 253-nucleotide ribosomal RNA is filed under the name uncultured bacterium. RNAcentral's name for it is "partial 16S ribosomal RNA". It matches the Rfam family "Bacterial small subunit ribosomal RNA", at positions 524 to 776 of the family's 1533-position model. The record is from RNAcentral.
CACGGGGGGAGCAAGCGUUGUUCGGAAUCACUGGGCGUAAAGGGCGUGUAGGCGGUCAAGUAAGUGGAAUGUGAAACGCCUCGGCUUACCCGAGGACCUGCAUCCCAAACUGCUUGGCUUGAGUAUGGGAGAGGAUGAGGGAAUUCCUGGUGUAGCGGUGAAAUGCGUAGAUAUCAGGAGGAACACCGGUGGCGAAAGCGCUCAUCUGGCCCAAUACUGACGCUGAGGCGCGAAAGCUAGGGGAGCAAACAGG